Molecule: non-coding RNA, 135 nt
Organism: Triticum aestivum (bread wheat)
Lineage: Eukaryota; Viridiplantae; Streptophyta; Magnoliopsida; Poales; Poaceae
Source: Rfam
GAAAUACUCCCUCCGUCCGGAAAUACUUGUCAUCAAAAUGAAUAAAAGAGGAUGUAUCUAGAUGUAUUUUAGUUUUAGAUACAUCCAUUUUUGUCCAUUUUGAUGACAAGUAUUUCCGGACGGAGGGAGUAAGUA